RNAcentral lists this ribosomal RNA (470 nucleotides) under uncultured bacterium. RNAcentral's name for it is "SSU rRNA". It matches the Rfam family "Bacterial small subunit ribosomal RNA", at positions 26 to 518 of the family's 1533-position model. The record is from RNAcentral.
AGGACGAACGCUGGCGGCGUGCUUAACACAUGCAAGUCGAGCGGAAAGGCCCUUCGGGGUACUCGAGCGGCGAACGGGUGAGUAACACGUGAGUAAUCUGCCCCUAGCUCUGGGAUAGCUCCGGGAAACCGGGAUUAAUACCGGAUACGACCACCUUAGACAUCUUUUGUGGUGGAAAGAAUUUCGGCUAGGGAUGAGCUCGCGGCCUAUCAGCUUGUUGGUGGGGUAACGCCUACCAAGGCGACGACGGUAGCCGGCCUGAGAGGGCGACCGGCCACACUGGGACUGAGACACGGCCCAGACUCCUACGGGAGGCAGCAGUGGGAAUAUUGCGCAAUGGGCGAAAGCCUGACGCAGCGACGCCGCGUGGGGGAUGAAGGCCUUCGGGUUGUAAACCCCUUUCAGCAGGACGAAGCGAAAGUGACGGUACCUGCAGAAGAAGCGCCGGCUAACUACGCGCCAGCAGCCGC